UACGUAGGGCGCAAGCGUUGUCCGGAAUUAUUGGGCGUAAAGAGCUCGUAGGCGGUUUGUCGCGUCUGCUGUGAAAACCUAAGGCUCAACCUUGGGCUUGCAGUGGGUACGGGCAGACUAGAGUGCGGUAGGGGUGACUGGAAUUCCUGGUGUAGCGGUGGAAUGCGCAGAUAUCAGGAGGAACACCGAUGGCGAAGGCAGGUCACUGGGCCGCAACUGACGCUGAGGCGCGAAAGCCAGGGGAGCGAACGGG
Molecule: ribosomal RNA, 253 nt
Filed under: uncultured bacterium
Lineage: Bacteria
Description: partial 16S ribosomal RNA
Rfam family: Bacterial small subunit ribosomal RNA
Source: RNAcentral